UACGGGGGGAGCUAGCGUUGUUCGGAAUUAUUGGGCGUAAAGGGUGUGUAGGCGGUUAUGUAAGUAGAGUGUUAAAUCCCCGGGCUCAACCCUGGAAUUGCAUUCUAUACUGCAUGACUAGAAUGUGGUAGAGGAAAGUGGAAUUCCUAGUGUAGAGGUGAAAUUCGUAGAUACUAGGAGGAACGUCGAAGGCGAAGGCAGCUUUCUGGACCAUUAUUGACGCUGAGGCACGAAAGCGUGGGUAGCAAACAGG
Molecule: ribosomal RNA, 253 nt
Filed under: uncultured bacterium
Lineage: Bacteria
Description: partial 16S ribosomal RNA
Rfam family: Bacterial small subunit ribosomal RNA
Source: RNAcentral